Molecule: long non-coding RNA, 3723 nt
Organism: Gallus gallus (chicken)
Lineage: Eukaryota; Metazoa; Chordata; Aves; Galliformes; Phasianidae
Source: Ensembl
AAAUAUCUCUGGAUGGUUGUACUCCUCUUGACUGUCACCGGUUGUUGGAAGGGCCCACAGUGCCAGAGGCAGAUGUGUGACAGAUUGCAGCAGAAGGGUACUCUGACAAAACAAUGUCUGACAUGGAAAUUUAUACGAAACAGAGGUGCGACACUGAAUUACUCCAUGUGGGAUAAAAACAGCACCCACUGGCAUUCACUGAUGCUUGCUGAAAAUUUGUGGAGACCAAACCAUGGACAACAGCAGAGGAGGCUGCGGGUGAUGCUUUUCAACAGUGGUGAUUGCACCUCUGCAUUUUUAUUUAUUUAUUUAUUUUAUGAGCACACUAUGUACACUCUUGUUCAUUUCUAUUGAAAAUGCAUAGUGUAGCUGAGAAUUUGCUCCAUCAAACAGUAUUACUGUACUCUUUUUAUCUGCUCAAGUUUCCAUGAAUAUAAAAAGGAGGCAUUACUUUUGGAAUGACCUACGUACAUUCUCACUUUUUCUUUAUUAUUGUAUGUGUCGGAAGCAAGAUAAGUUCUAAUUUUAUGUCUUUAUGUGAUAAAUUUCAGAUUUAUGAAGACAGGCUAAUUGUAUUUGCUUGUAAUAUUCACUGAAGUAACACUAAAGUAAGACUUCAAUAGUGGUUCAGUGCUACAGACAGUAUUAAUGUAAUGAGUAAAAAAAAUGAUAUAGAGCCGAGGCAGUUCCAAAAUAAGUGUUAUUGGAACAUUAAAAAUGUUCAGAGGAACCUUUCUGUCCCCCAAAUCAUCUUCACACAGGUAUAUUUUUGCUCAUGGGAAAAGUUCAAUUUAGAGUGAGAGGAAUACCUACGGGGCUAGAAAGGUCAGCAAAUAGAACUUCCCUGGUGUAGCAGCUAAACAGUUUUAUGUAACGUUGAUAGUCAAUUUAACAUAAUCAUGUAAUUGCACCUGCAAAAACAGGGAGCGUACCUUGAGUGAGACUAGUUGAUAACAUGCAUGAAAUAAAUAGUGUCAUAGUAGAGAAGAGUUUGCAAGUAUAGAAGUAGCAAACAUUCACGAUUUUAAGCCAUAAUGAUGCAAUCUCCUCUCAUUUUCAUAACCUUUACUCGCUGUAACAGCAGCAGGACCAACACAAUGAGAAAAUGUUACAAAAAGAUUGCUCAUCCAUCUCCAAAGAUCUAGGCUUACAGAAAAACACCCCACAGAAGGGAUCUUCAGCAAAAGGUCCUUCCUCAGUGGCAGUCAGCCCUCAAAUGAGGUCUAAGAGUUAGAGCCAGGCUCCACCCCUUUCAAUCGCACAGGUGAAUUGCCUCCUCCUGUGCUCCCAGGGUUGACCAGGUCUCUCCUUCCAGAUGCUCAGUUGUUCAGGCCGUGACUCAGCAGUUCUCAUACACUUAUGUAGAAAUAAGAAAUACAUGUAGCAUCAUACUGUGCAAUGCGUAUGUACCAGAUGAUGGAUAUAACAUUUACAGUAAAAUAUUCAACAAUAUUUCCAGGACCGAUAUAGUUCCUCUAGAGAUUAACUGCUUGUUUCUUUAGGUACUGCACUGAGGUAUGCCAGCAUAAUCUGAAUACCUGGCAACAGGAUUACAAAUUGCAUGUCUGAGUCUUAAUAGCAAACUCAUUGCUCUAAUGAGAAAAAUUACUUUCCUUAAUAUUAGGGAGAAUGGAAGAAGAAACAUUCAGACAUUCUCUGCCUAUAAUUAGGCUAUUAAAAUCACAUUCAGCUACAUAAAUUCUAAUGAAUUAAUUUUUAAAAAUUCUGCAGACCAGUUUCUCAGUGAUCAUAUCUGAGAACGCUAAAUGAUUGACAUAUCUGGAAAUCAAACCAUGUAUUUAGUAGCCUCAGCUCACAGGUUUCUUGAAUCUACAUGCAAGAUAUAAGGGUAGUUUGCAUGAUAUCUGAAGACUGUGCAGUGAUCUCAUGAUCACUGUGCUUCUGUGACAGACAGCAGUUAAGUGCAAGCUUGGGUUAUGUUGGAGGACAUCUGAGCUGGUGGCACCAGCAGGGGUUAAUGUGGAUGAGAACAGUGAAUCUCCUGUCCUAGCCGAGACUCCUCCUCCCUACCCUCAAACCUAUUUGACCUGAAGUGAUAUCAGAUGGUUAUCUCCAGGCAGACAGGUGAUCUAGGGUCCUUCCUAAAGGCUCUUAUGCCAAGUAAAGCAAGAAUGGUGGCCUCUGCAGAGAAACAUACUGCUGUCAGAGGGAAAGAAUGGACAGUGGGUGAGGGAUCGUUGAUUACUUCAGUCCACUCCUUGACUCAGGCAAUUUAUGACUGUAUUGACAUCACCUGGCAGUUAAUUUAAGCUGCUAUAUAUGGAAUGUGAAUUUUCAGCUUGACUACUGAUUUUAAUUGCAGUUCAGUAUCUGAGGAUAGCAAAGGUGAGAAACUCACAUCUUUUAUUAGAAAUAAAUCUGAUUUAAAUAUUCUUCAUUUCUGGCCAUAGAAUAACAUAGCCACAAUAGGCAAAAAACAGUAUUAGCUUAGAAGAUGACAAAUUGGAUAAUUUUUUCAAUUUAUUGUUCACAUCAACCAUGAAGGCCACCUCAGGAACAAUAAAUCAGAUUAAAUCCUAAUGUAUGAUUUAAACAGGUAAUUUACUCCUUUGCUGGUAUCCUUAAAACAUCCAAAUACUGAGUUUAAAACCUUUAAAUAUGUCAGUGGAGUGUACUUAUGUAAAUCCUUUAAGCGGAAGGAAAAAAGGAUAUAUUCUGCUUAUAAUAUACUAAGUAGGCAGAUGUCCCUAAAGUAGAUUUCACUUCAAUGCAAGGCUUUGUAAAACCAAUUAGAAAGUGUACGCCGUAUUGCCUCAACAUCCUGUUAUCAAGUGCUGUUGAAAAUUAAUGAUCAUAAAUGAAAUAUGUAAAGAAGCACUGAAAAUAAUCUUUCAAAAUAAAGUGUUAAAAUAUAUACUGUACAGAAUGUCCACUGGGUGUUCAGCAAUGCAAGCUCUCAGAGAUGUAUUUCUGUGUUUGCAUAGUGUAGCAAUAGAUUUCUACACCUUCUGAAGUGCUGAGAAGCAUUUCCACUGCAAUGUUUUUCUUGUGAACAUUAGCACCAACACCAGAUGCCUGACCACAUUUUAGUAAAAAGUAUUCAGAUGUACAGUAGACUCUGUUAGCAAAACUGUGGUUGUACAUUGAUAAAUAGAAUGGUUUGGAAGCAGACAGCCAACCAGAAAUGGGAUCAAACAGUCUUUGCAGCUCCCACUGUCUCUACACAGACUGCUGCCAAUGUGGCAGCUUCCUUCCUGCUCCUGUUGCAGGUACCUCUGCUGAGGCUGCUGUUGGCAGAUGAUCUCUGGUGGUGUCUGAUCUUGACAAAGGUACGGGAUAACAAUUUUGCAAGCACUGAACCACAGGAUCUGGGAGAAUGCUUCAGUUCCACAAUUUAGAUGUGGACAAAAAGACAAGCCACUGACUUUCCCAGGAGUUGAAUGGUUACUAAUACAUUAGAUACGCCUCAUCUUAACUGCAAGUCACUGGAACUGAUAAAGGAAUUAUUAAGUGGAAUACAAAGAUAUCCAUUAUGCUGUUUUGACUAAUAAUGACAAUAUUGUUGUAUUUUUUGCUUUAUUUUGUAACAUCUCAAACUCUUAUUUUGAGAACAAAAAGGUACAUUGGAAUAUCUAGUCUAAUGUAUUGAAGUACAUGGGCUGUUGAAUGUCAAAACUUUUUCCCUCAUUGAAACCAAUAACCUGUAUUUUCAGAAGGGAAAAAAUGUGACUAUAAAGACUGUUAAAGACAGAAAAAUUCAUC